This 2046-nucleotide long non-coding RNA is filed under the name Salmo salar (Atlantic salmon). RNAcentral's name for it is "lncRNA (ENSSSAG00000108224.1, ENSSSAG00000111813.1)". The record is from RNAcentral. Lineage: Eukaryota; Metazoa; Chordata; Actinopteri; Salmoniformes; Salmonidae.
GGCCUUUUUGCACAUCAGAUAUACAGUCUUGUCAAGCGUUCAAGGGAAAAUUACUCCUCCUGACCCGCCAAGUAGAAGCCAACGAUCUCACCCACCUUCCGACACUACUAGUUUGUUGCCUAUCAGAUGACCAGCGGGAGAAGUAUACAUCAUUGCUGCGUGCUUUGAACGGGGCUGAGUCACUGGCUUACUGGUGCUCUUCCAUGCCAUCCCUGGGAGGGGUGCGUCACUUGAGUGGGUUGAGUCAUUGACGUGAUCUCCUGUCUGGGUUGGCGCCCCCCAUUGGGUUGUGCCGUGGCGGCCUUGUCUCAGCCUUGUCUCAGGAUGGUAAGUUGGUGGUUGAAGAUAUCCCUAUAGUGGUGUGGGGGCUGUGCUUUGGCAAAGUGGGUGGGGUUAUAUCCUGCCUGUUUGGCCCUGUCCGGGGGUAUUGUCGGGGGGCUAGGGCCAGUCUGUUAUAUCUGGAGUAUUUCUCCUGUCUUAUCCUGUCUUAUCCUAUCCUGUGUGAAUUUAAGUAUGCUCUCUCUAACUCUCUCUCUCUUUCUCUCUUUCUUUCUUUCUUUCUUUCUCUCACUCGGAGGACCUGAGCCCUAGGACCAUGCCUCAGGACUAUCUGGCCUGAUGACUCCUUGCUGUCCCCAGUCCACCUGGCCGUGCUGCUGCUCCAGUUUCAACUGUUCUGCCUGCGGCUAUGGAAUCCUGACCUUUUCACCGGACGUGCUACCUGUCCCAGACCUGCUGUUUACAACUCUCUAGAGACAGCAGGAGCGGUAGAGAUACUCUCAAUGAUCGGCUAUGAAAAGCCAACUGACAUUUACUCCUGAGGUGCUGACCUGUUGCACCCUCGGCAUCCACUGUUAUUAUUAUUAUUUGACCCUGCUGGUCACCUAUGAACAUUUGAACAUCUUGGCCAUGUUCUGUUAAUCUCCCCCCGGCACAGCCAGAAGAGGACUGGCCACAACUCGUAGCCUGGUUAUUCUCUAGGUUUCUUCCUAGGUUCUGGCCUUUCUAGGGAGUUUUUCCUAGCCACCGUGCUUCUACACCUGCAUUGCUUGCUGUUUGGGGUUUAGGCUGGGUUUCUGUACAGCACUUUGAGAUAUCAGCUGAUGUAAGAAGGGCUUUAUAAAUAAAUGUGAUUGAUUGAUAAUGACAAAGCAAAAACAGGUUUUUAGACAUUUUUGCAAAUUUAUAAAAAAUCUAAAACAGAAAUACCUUAUUUAAAUAAGUAUUCAGACCCUUUGCUAUGAGACUUGAAAUUGAACUCAGCUGCAUCUCUGAUGUUGCACCUAUCCUGGGAUUGUGUAUGACUUAGAUGCUCACUCUCCUCUGUGAGCUCGUCUAGGCGUGUGAUCAAGGACAUGGGUUUUACUUGAGAUAGGGGUAUCUGGAGUUGACAGUUGAUUUAUGCCAUAGAAUGAGUUGGUGUUUAUGUACUAUGAAGUACCAGGGACGUGAUCUGAGCCUUGUCUUAGGGGCCAAACUCUGUACAAUAAGAACAGUCUUCAUAGCAAAUGCUAUCUGGCUGGGGGAUACUCCUUUCUCAAUUAUCAAGUCUCACCUUCGGACCCAUUCCACACAUCUGUUGUUUGCUAUGUAGACUAAGGGGGUGUAUCUUUGCUAUAAAAAGGUCUUUGUAUCCUUUGUGUCGGGGCUCUCAACGAAUCAUCUGAGGGUGGUUCGUCGACCAGCCAUCGCUAUUGCAGAGCUCUCACUAAUAAAGAUUCAGUUUAAGUAUAACUCUGACUUGUGUGAUAAGUUUGUCUCUCCUCAUUGAUAACACAGAAAUUAACCACUACGGUGGCCUCCAUCAUUCUUAAAUGGAAGAAGUUUGGAACCACCAAGAGGCAAACUAGAACUGGCCGCCUGGCCAAAUUGAGCAAUCAGGGCAGAAGGGACUUGGUCAGGGAGGUGACCAAGAACCUGAUGGUCACUCUGACAGAGCUCCAGAGUUUGUCUGUGGAGAUGGGAGAACAUUCCAGAAGGACAACCAUCUCUGCAGCACUCCACCAAGCGUGCUGGUGGCAGCAUCAUGCUGUGGGGAUGUUUUUA